UAAUACCGGAUAGAUCAAAGAUACUGGAAUGUUCUCUGGUCCAAAACUCCGGUGCCCGAGGAUGGGUCUGCGGCCUAUCAGGUUGUAGUGGGUGUAACGUACCUACUAGCCGACGAGGGGUAAGGGUUGUGAGAGCAAGAUCCCUGAGAUGGAUUCUGAGACAUGAAUCCAGGCCCUACGGGGUGCAGCAGGCGCGAAACCUUUACACUGCGGGAAACCGCGAUAAGGGGACCCCGAGUGCCUGCAUCUAGUGCUGGCUGUCCAGCUGUUCAAAUAACAGUUGUUAGCAAGGGCCGGGCAAGACCGGUGCCAGCCGCCGCGGUAACACCGGCGGCCCGAGUGGUAGCCGUUAUUAUUGGGUUUAAAGGGUCCGUAGCCGGCCUAUUAAGUCUCUUGGGAAAUCUGGCGACUCAAUCGUCAGGCGUCC
Molecule: ribosomal RNA, 427 nt
Filed under: uncultured archaeon
Lineage: Archaea
Description: bacterial SSU rRNA
Rfam family: Archaeal small subunit ribosomal RNA
Source: RNAcentral